UACGGAGGGGGCUAGCGUUGUUCGGAAUUACUGGGCGUAAAGCGUACGUAGGCGGCUUUGUAAGUCAGAGGUGAAAGCCCGGAGCUCAACUCCGGAAUUGCCUUUGAGACUGCAUCGCUUGAAUCCAGGAGAGGUGAGUGGAAUUCCGAGUGUAGAGGUGAAAUUCGUAGAUAUUCGGAAGAACACCAGUGGCGAAGGCGGCUCACUGGACUGGUAUUGACGCUGAGGUGCGAAAGCGUGGGGAGCAAACAGG
RNAcentral lists this ribosomal RNA (253 nucleotides) under uncultured bacterium. Its description in RNAcentral is "partial 16S ribosomal RNA". It matches the Rfam family "Bacterial small subunit ribosomal RNA", at positions 524 to 776 of the family's 1533-position model. The record is from RNAcentral.